UCAUUUUCUCACCAAUCCUUGCACAAAAAUUCAAACUCCGUCCCAACGACCCACACACCGAUUAUUACCUUACGCGCCACGAUCCGUCCGCGAGAUAACCUUCUCUAAACGAUGGAGCCGCCGCCGCCUAAGGCAGAUAUCGAAGUGAAGAUUGCGCAGAAUCCAAACCCGUCGCCGAUCGUCGAUCCGAAAGCUACGGAUCAAGGACCGAAGAAGGGUGGCGACAAUGCGAGCAUCGAGAUUGAAAUCGAGACGAAAGGGAGCGAGUCAUGGGAGGAAGCGACGUCGGUGAAGAAACGGUGGUGGUUGGUGCCGGGGCUGGAGCUUGAGAGAAACAUGAAGUGGCCAAGAAACCAAGAAAGAUCACAACUUGCAAAGCCUUAGGACUCAUCUUUAGAUUGAUUCUGUUUGAAAGUUGCAACUCUCUGUUUAAUGUUUUAAGCUCUUGUUUCUUUGUUUGAUGGCAUGUGGAAUUAUGAGAGAAGAGAGGUUCUAUAUAUACUCGAUGGUUGGGAUUAAUUAAUUAAUUAUCGUUGUGACUUGUGACACUAAUCAUGCAAGCUACAUACGUUAAUACAGCAUGGCUUAGCUUGACAAUGGCGGUUUGAAAAUAAUUGUAUGUGUUUUUUUCUUCUUUAUUUAUUUCUGUUUUUUUGUCAUUUUUUUUUUCAUUUGACUUGGCGUGUUUGGGAUUCUGAAGUUUCCUUGAAGGAUCAUCUACAUGGAGGCACCAAACUGAUGCACUGAGCUCUGCCAUGUGUUUAAAUUGGUUGUUUGGUCUCUUUGACUGUGUCUAAAUUUGCUGUUUUUGCUUAACCGCGUUUAUGGACUUGAACAGUGGCACAGUGCCGUGCCAGCCUUUCUAGGAGGCUUGAGACAUGUUUUAAAAUCUGAUUUUGUAUUUUUUUAAACGAUAUAAAAUAAUGAAAACGAGUAGUAAUAAUAAAGAACAUAUAAAACAAUCAUGAUAACGUCUUAGGAAUUCUUGUUUUUCUUUCUUUUUUUUAUUUUGCUUCUAAGUCAUAUCUACUCAUGAAGGCAUUUUCUGAUUAUUUUUAUUAGAUUCAAAAUAUAUAAUCAAUUGUAUAACAGAAACUAAAACAAACAGCGGUUUCCAUAUGUAUUAUAAACAAAAAAAAAAAUCUACUGUGUUAGCCAUCAAUAUUCACAAAACUAAACAUGAAAAAAAACUAAUUAUAAAGUGUGAGUACAGUUGCCAAAUAAAAGUGUAAAUACAAAAGAUUUUUUUUUAUCGUAAAAGGAGUACAAUUUUUUUUGUGGAAACAAAGUUUGUGAUAACAAAAAUCAUUAAAAUUCUUCUAAAUUAAAUACAUAUAAAUAAAGAGAGAAAAGUUUAUUUUAUUUGUUAAUGAUUGGAUUUGAACUUAUGUGGAAGACAUAAAUAAAUUUAUACUAUUAAAAUCAUUGGACUAAGCGCAAUUUUGAAGAUUUGGGGCUAAUUUUAACACACGGGGUAAUUGUUUUGAUUCAGAUUCAUAAUUAGUAUUUCUUGUCUCAUGGAUUUGAUCAAAAAAAAAAGGAUUUAACCUUUUCUUGCAAGUAUUAUAUAAUUGUUUAUGUUGAAAAGUUGUGUACAUCUCGACUGUAUAUACGCGGGCAGGGGCUGGACGAAGCUGUCAUUAUGUUAAAGUUAAUUUAAUUAAUAUUUAGGAGAGGUAAUAUAUAUUAGUAUGCAUAUAUGGUAAUUCAUUCUUCUAGAGUAUUUUUAUUAUUCUUCCCAAUAUUUUAGUGACGGAUUAUUUGGUUCCCAUUAUUGUGACAACCUACAAGUUUACAAACUUAACGCGCAUUCCCGUUUUCUAGUGGUGCUAGUAUUCUAUUUGUUUUAUUUUAAUUAUCGUUUUAGAUUUAUACCACAAAUAGAAAAAUAUUUAGUUUUAUAUAUUUAUUAAAUAAAAAAUAUCAUUAUCAAUAUAUUUAAUCAUAUUUCAAUCAAUAAAAAAUAGAUUAAAAUAUAAAAAUUAAUAAAUUUUAUAUUAAAAUUAUAAAGCAAUAUGUAUUUUUAAAUAAAAAAUUUACUUUGCAACGACAGUUGAAUUGAAAUUACUAGUACUUAAUUAGAAAUUGGAAUCUACCUAACAAAGUAUUUCACUUAAAUUAGAAAAUUGUUUGACCUUAUAUGCAUUGUAUCUUCGUAAGAAAUGUAUAAUUUGAAUCUUUAUUUCCUGACAACCUUAUCAUACUUUCUAAUUAACCAAAGUAUUAUUACAAUUAAUUUAAUUCAUAGAACUAGUUUGAACAAGGCCUUGGUAGGCCAAGGCCUCUCUUUGUAGCUUUUGGUGGACGGUGGCCUAAGCUAACAUUUUUUGUUUUUUGUCAAGCCCAAAAUGUUUUUUUAUCUCUUUAACCUGCACACAACUUGUUUAAGAUUUUAGAGGGAAAUUGACUAAAAAAAUGCAGUUGAAUAAACAACGUAUGAAACCAAUGGAUGGCCGACAACGCCUGAUAUAUGCGGAUAAUAAAUUAAAAAGGUACAUUUAGAGGGAAAACCGAUCUGCCUCAAGAUGUCUACAUGCACUAAUCUCACUCACUGGUUCAACUCUAGAGUACAUGAAGUAUAAUUCUUAAACGUGUUAAGGUCCCGUUUAUUGCUUAAAUUUUUGGUUGCUACAUUAAUAUUUUGGACUGUUAAAUACCCUGACUUGAUAUAGCACCAUACUUUUUAAAAAAAAAUAUACAUUUGUUCCAAACCUAGAACUAAACUUAAUACUAGUCAUAACUCAUAACUUAGCAUUUUUACCAAAAUGUAAAGCAUUUGGAUUCAGAAAUGAACAUGGCGCGCCUUACUACUAGUCAUGGACUCAUGAUUAAAGUUAUAGAUAUUUCUAAUUAUCUAUCAGAAAGUGCACUGCUUACAGAGCUAACAAACACAUGAAUGGUUGAAGAAGGUUUUUUGUUUUGAUACUUAAGCCAUUUUUUUCUUACUUAACAAUCUCCAGACAAUCUCUUUCAAACAUUUAAAUUCCUUUUUUUCUUGUGGUUGACAGUAUUGCAUUACAUUUUAGUUAUGUUACGAAAUGAUCAAUGUACCAUCGUAAUUAUGGUCACAUGUAACGUAGAGAGGAAGAAAAAAAACGUAGAGAGACAUGACAAUCUACCACCGGUUAAACCCGGUCCAAAAAUCUCGCAUCGCCGCUUAAAAAUGCCAAUCACUUGUUACGGUUCGUCACCUGUCUUCCCGGUAAUCCCGUCCUCUCUAUUUAACAUUCCAAAAGCUCUCCCAAAUUAAAUAUAAAUAAUUAAUUUAUUCAUUUUCUCACCAAUCCUUGCACAAAAAUUCAAACUCCGUCCCAACGACCCACACACCGAUUAUUACCUUACGCGCCACGAUCCGUCCGCGAGAUAACCUUCUCUAAACGAUGGAGCCGCCGCCGCCUAAGGCAGAUAUCGAAGUGAAGAUUGCGCAGAAUCCAAACCCGUCGCCGAUCGUCGAUCCGAAAGCUACGGAUC
This 3471-nucleotide long non-coding RNA is filed under the name Brassica napus (rape). Its description in RNAcentral is "long non-coding RNA (BNAP_LNC003587)". Lineage: Eukaryota; Viridiplantae; Streptophyta; Magnoliopsida; Brassicales; Brassicaceae. The record is from RNAcentral.